CCUGCAUUACAGGUUUAGGGACGUCUUGGCAUCUAAGUGCAGAAUUUGAAGCAAAUGUGACAUCAACCCUCUAGACCGAUGAGAGAAACAACACUGAACUUAAAUUUCGGAUAUAACCCUGAACAUUUGUCAUCAAUCACAUGACAUGCUGCUCACCACUAGAGGAAGACCCCUAUUGAAUUUGGCUUUGAUUCCUCUAAGUAACUGACCAGACACUAGAAGGUCCAGGUGCUGAUAAACUACACAAGAUCAAGUCCUGGUGUACUACACCCUACAGUGUUUCUGGCGGCUGGUGGAGCGAUUAAAGAAAAGCCAUGCUAAUGUUGCAAUGAUAUGUAUGCUAAACAAAAUAAAUAAAUUUAAAAAAAAA
Dreissena polymorpha is the source of this 370-nucleotide long non-coding RNA. RefSeq lists it as uncharacterized. The transcript has 3 exons. The record is from RefSeq and is a predicted model, not a curated record. NCBI's taxonomy places the organism in Eukaryota, Metazoa, Mollusca, Bivalvia, Myida, Dreissenidae.